RNAcentral lists this ribosomal RNA (467 nucleotides) under uncultured bacterium. Its description in RNAcentral is "partial 16S ribosomal RNA". It matches the Rfam family "Bacterial small subunit ribosomal RNA", at positions 28 to 507 of the family's 1533-position model. The record is from RNAcentral.
GACGAACGCUGGCGGUGUGCUUAACACAUGCAAGUCGAACGGAAAGGCCUCUUUCGGGGGGUACUCGAGUGGCGAACGGGUGAGUAACACGUGAGUAACCUGCCCUUGACUUUGGGAUAACUUCAGGAAACUGGGGCUAAUACCGGAUAGGAGCUCCUGCUGCAUGGUGGGGGUUGGAAAGUUUCGGCGGUUGGGGAUGGACUCGCGGCUUAUCAGCUUGUUGGUGGGGUAGUGGCUUACCAAGGCUUUGACGGGUAGCCGGCCUGAGAGGGUGACCGGCCACAAUGGGACUGAGAUACGGCCCAGACUCCUACGGGAGGCAGCAGUGGGGAAUAUUGCACAAUGGGUGGAAGCCUGAUGCAGCAACGCCGUGUGCGGGAUGACGGCCUUCGGGUUGUAAACCGCUUUCGCUCAUGACGAAGCUUUGUGUGACGGUAGUGGGUAAAGAAGCACCGGCUAACUACGUG